This 31-nucleotide non-coding RNA is filed under the name Mus musculus (house mouse). The record is from RNAcentral. Lineage: Eukaryota; Metazoa; Chordata; Mammalia; Rodentia; Muridae.
UAGCUUUGUUGCUUUGUGCCUCCACCAUGAC